Small nucleolar RNA from Lethenteron reissneri (Far Eastern brook lamprey), 117 nucleotides. The record is from RefSeq and is a predicted model, not a curated record. NCBI's taxonomy places the organism in Eukaryota, Metazoa, Chordata, Hyperoartia, Petromyzontiformes, Petromyzontidae.
CGGCCGUGAUGAGCAUCCAUGCUAAUACCGAUGCGCCGAGUCCGUGGGCUCCACCGCCCCGGGCGCCGGGCGCAGCUGCGUUGAACUCUGACUUCUCGCUGUGAGACUCUGAGCCGG